ACUGCUCAGUAACACGUGGAUAAUCUGCCCUUAGGUGGGGGAUAAUCUCGAGAAAUUGAGCAUAAUACCCCAUAGUUCUAGAUUGCUGGAAUGCUUCUAAAAUGAAAGCUCAGGCGCCUAAGGAUGAGUCUGCGGCCUAUCAGGUUGUAGUGAGUGUAACGGACUCACUAGCCGACGACGGGUACGGGUCCUGGAAGGGAGCGCCCGGAGAUGGACUCUGAGACACGAGUCUAGGCCCUACGGGGCGCAGCAGCUACGAAAACUUCACAAUGCGGGAAACCGUGAUGAGGGGAUUCCAAGUGCUAAUACUUUGUAUUAGCUGUUUACUUGCCUAAAAAGCAGGUAGAGUAAGGGCUGGGCAAGACUGGUGCCAGCCGCCGCGGUAAUACCAGCAGCUCAAGUGGUGAUCGUUAUUAUUGGGCCUAAAGCGUCCGUAGCCUGCUUGGUAAACCCUUGGGUAAAUCGGGCAGCUUAACUGUCCGACUUCUGAGGAGACUGCCAGGCUUGGGACCGGGAGAGGUCAGAGGUACUUCUAGGGUAGAGGUGAAAUUCUGUAAUCCUAGGAGGACCACCAGUGGCGAAGGCGUCUGACUAGAACGGGUCCGACGGUAAGGGACGAAACCCUGGGGCGCGAACCGGAUUAGAUACCCGGGUAGUCCAGGGCGUAAACGCUGCGGGCUUGGUGUUGGGGGUCCUACGAGGGCGUCCAGUGCCGGAGAGAAGUUGUUAAGCCCGCCGCCUGGGGGAGUACGAUCGCAAGAUUGAAACUUAAAGGAAUUGGCGGGGGAGCAC
Molecule: ribosomal RNA, 792 nt
Filed under: uncultured archaeon
Lineage: Archaea
Description: bacterial SSU rRNA
Rfam family: Archaeal small subunit ribosomal RNA
Source: RNAcentral